This 292-nucleotide ribosomal RNA is filed under the name uncultured bacterium. RNAcentral's name for it is "partial 16S ribosomal RNA". It matches the Rfam family "Bacterial small subunit ribosomal RNA", at positions 505 to 796 of the family's 1533-position model. The record is from RNAcentral.
GUGCCAGCCGCCGCGGUAAUACGGAGGGUGCAAGCGUUAUUCGGAAUUACUGGGCGUAAAGCGCGUGUAGGCGGGAAAGCAAGUCUGAUGUGAAAGCCCCGGGCUUAACCUGGGAAGUGCAUUGGAAACUGUUUUUCUUGAGUACUGGAGAGGAAGGGAGAAUUCCCGGUGUAGAGGUGAAAUUCGUAGAGAUCGGGAGGAACACCAGUGGCGAAGGCGCCCUUCUGGACGGUUACUGACGCUGAGACGCGAAAGCGUGGGGAGCAAACAGGAUUAGAAACCCCUGUAGUCC